ACAAAUGAGAAGACCUGAGGGAGUUGAUGAGCUGAGGCCAGGCUGGACCACUAGAAUGCAGCAAGAGCAGCUGAGCCCAGUGCUCUCUUCUCUAUUGUGGAGCGUUAGGGGGAGGGAGAUAAAUGAGGCCAUACUAUUGCAAUCACUUGGAAAAAUAUACAAAAACUUCCCAAACUACAAGAUGCUUUCUACUGCCACCAGACAUCCUUUGGAGGUUUUCCUACCGGUUAAUAACCAGGGACUUGUUGGCAUUUGACAGAGCAUCUUGGGUUUCUUACAUAAAAUGUGGAAUUGUCAACAGUCAGACCCUUCAAUGGCCAAGGCUGUGGUGCACAGUUUCUAUCAGCUUGUAUAGGAUAUCCUGCCUGGUUUUGGCCUCAGGGGAGCAAUGGUGAGAUUUCAUAGCUCACUGUCUUCUGGUUGAAGCAAAGGGUACCAAACAGAGGUCAAGCUUGGACCUCCUCAGUGAAGCUGGGACAAUCCAUUCACGUGUGAGGAGUACAGUGGAUUUCUGAAAAGCUGCUUUCCGUGUCUUCUUAUAGGAUACGGUAACAGCUCCUUACUGGAAGAACAUUUUUAGAGCUGCCAUUGAUGGACACAGAGGGCGUUAAAACCCAGAGCACAUAAACCAGGAUGAGAAAAUUAAUCAGAAGAUGAAAGACAGCAGCUUUGGGGGACCCUGGCUGAGCCCUCCUGCAUGCUCCUGGGACACCCUUUCAGACCAGCAGCACCAUCCCAUGCAGGGGCUGUGAUGAUGACUUAUAAUGUAGACAUCACCUCUGCUGGAGGACAGCCUUCGGAUCUGCUGAGUCCUUUCAUAACAAAUAAAACCAAACACGACAAAACACCAUAAGC
RNAcentral lists this long non-coding RNA (855 nucleotides) under Mus pahari (shrew mouse). Its description in RNAcentral is "lncRNA (MGP_PahariEiJ_G0012574.1)". Lineage: Eukaryota; Metazoa; Chordata; Mammalia; Rodentia; Muridae. The record is from RNAcentral.